GAUGAAGAACGUAGUGAAAUGCGAUAAGUAAUGUGAAUUGCAGAAUUCAGUGAAUCAUCGAAUCUUUGAACGCACAUUGCGCCCAUUAGUAUUCUAGUGGGCAUGCCUGUUCGAGCGUCAUUUCAACCCUUAAGCCUAGCUUAGUAUUGGGAAUCGACUUUACUGUCGUUCCUCAAAUUCAACGGCGGAUUUAUAGCAAUCUCUGAACGUAGUAAUUUUUUUUCUCGUUUUUGAAAUACUAUAAACCUCAGCCGCUAAACCCCCAAUUUCUUAUGGUUGACCUCGGAUCAGGUAGGAAUACCCGCUGAACUUAAGCAUAUCAAUAAGCGGAGGA
This 334-nucleotide unclassified non-coding RNA is filed under the name soil metagenome. Its description in RNAcentral is "partial contains 5.8S ribosomal RNA, internal transcribed spacer 2, and large subunit ribosomal RNA". The stretch from base 1 to 120 matches the Rfam family "5.8S ribosomal RNA", at positions 35 to 154 of the family's 154-position model. The record is from RNAcentral.